UCCGGCUUAUCACCGGCAGUUCCCCCAGAGUGCUCAGCUUAACCUGUUAGCAACAGAGGGUGAGGGUUGCGCUCGUUGCGGGACUUAACCCAACAUCUCACGACACGAGCUGACGACAGCCAUGCAGCACCUGUGUGGAAGCCAGCCAAACUGAAGGAAGGCAUCUCUGCCGACCAAACUUCCCAUGUCAAGGGCUGGUAAGGUUCUUCGCGUUGCCUCGAAUUAAACCACAUGCUCCACCGCUUGUGCGGGUCCCCGUCAAUUCCUUUGAGUUUUAAUCUUGCGACCGUACUCCCCAGGCGGGAUGCUUAAUGCGUUAGCUGCGCCACUGACAGGCAAGCCUGCCAACGGCUAGCAUCCAUCGUUUACGGCGUGGACUAC
This 381-nucleotide unclassified non-coding RNA is filed under the name uncultured Alphaproteobacteria bacterium. RNAcentral's name for it is "contains 16S-23S intergenic spacer region". Lineage: Bacteria; Pseudomonadati; Pseudomonadota; Alphaproteobacteria. The record is from RNAcentral.